CGUAGGGUGCGAGCGUUAAUCGGAAUUACUGGGCGUAAAGCGUGCGCAGGCGGUUAUGUAAGACAGAUGUGAAAUCCCCGGGCUCAACCUGGGGACUGCAUUUGUGACUGCAUAGCUAGAGUACGGUAGAGGGGGAUGGAAUUCCGCGUGUAGCAGUGAAAUGCGUAGAUAUGCGGAGGAACACCGAUGGCGAAGGCAAUCCCCUGGACCUGUACUGACGCUCAUGCACGAAAGCGUGGGGAGCAAACAGGAUUAGAUACCCUGGUAGUCCACGCCCUAAACGAUGUCAACUGGUUGUUGGGUCUUCACUGACUCAGUAACGAAGCUAACGCGUGAAGUUGACCGCCUGGGGAGUACGGCCGCAAGGUUG
Molecule: ribosomal RNA, 370 nt
Filed under: uncultured organism
Description: bacterial SSU rRNA
Rfam family: Bacterial small subunit ribosomal RNA
Source: RNAcentral